RNAcentral lists this ribosomal RNA (745 nucleotides) under Salmonella enterica subsp. enterica serovar Derby. RNAcentral's name for it is "partial 23S ribosomal RNA". It matches the Rfam family "Bacterial large subunit ribosomal RNA", at positions 1 to 678 of the family's 2925-position model. Lineage: Bacteria; Pseudomonadati; Pseudomonadota; Gammaproteobacteria; Enterobacterales; Enterobacteriaceae. The record is from RNAcentral. RNAcentral also lists the same sequence under 1 other name.
GGGUUGUGAGGUUAAGCGACUAAGCGUACACGGUGGAUGCCCUGGCAGUCAGAGGCGAUGAAGGGCGUGCUAAUCUGCGAUAAGCGCCGGUAAGGUGAUAUGAACCGUUAUAACCGGCGAUACCCGAAUGGGGAAACCCAGUGUGACUCGUCACACUAUCAUUAACUGAAUCCAUAGGUUAAUGAGGCGAACCGGGGGAACUGAAACAUCUAAGUACCCCGAGGAAAAGAAAUCAACCGAGAUUCCCCCAGUAGCGGCGAGCGAACGGGGAGGAGCCCAGAGCCUGAAUCAGCAUGUGUGUUAGUGGAAGCGUCUGGAAAGGCGCGCGAUACAGGGUGACAGCCCCGUACACAAAAGCGCAUGUGCUGUGAGCUCGAUGAGUAGGGCGGGACACGUGGUAUCCUGUCUGAAUAUGGGGGGACCAUCCUCCAAGGCUAAAUACUCCUGACUGACCGAUAGUGAACCAGUACCGUGAGGGAAAGGCGAAAAGAACCCCGGCGAGGGGAGUGAAAAAGAACCUGAAACCGUGUACGUACAAGCAGUGGGAGCCCCACCACUAAGCCAGUGGUGAACUCCACAUACGCAUCCUUUGCUGAGGAUACGGUUAACGGAGCGCAAGCGACGUUCAACCGCAAAAGAAGCAGAGGGGGCUUAGUGGUGGGGUGACUGCGUACCUUUUGUAUAAUGGGUCAGCGACUUAUAUUCUGUAGCAAGGUUAACCGUAUAGGGGAGCCGGAGGGAAACC